GAUGAACGCUGGCGGCGUGCUUAACACAUGCAAGUCGAACGGAAAGGCCCAAGCUUGCUUGGGUACUCGAGUGGCGAACGGGUGAGUAACACGUGGGUGAUCUGCCCUGCACUUCGGGAUAAGCCUGGGAAACUGGGUCUAAUACCGGAUAGGACGAUAGUUUGGAUGCCAUUGUGGAAAGUUUUUUCGGUGUGGGAUGAGCUCGCGGCCUAUCAGCUUGUUGGUGGGGUAAUGGCCUACCAAGGCGUCGACGGGUAGCCGGCCUGAGAGGGUGUACGGCCACAUUGGGACUGAGAUACGGCCCAGACUCCUACGGGAUGCAGCAGUGGGGAAUAUUGCACAAUGGGCGCAAGCCUGAUGCAGCGACGCCGCGUGGGGGAUGACGGCCUUCGGGUUGUAAACUCCUUUCGCUAGGGACGAAGCGUUUUUGUGACGGUACCUGGAGAAGAAGCACCGGCUAACUACGUG
RNAcentral lists this ribosomal RNA (468 nucleotides) under uncultured bacterium. RNAcentral describes it as "partial 16S ribosomal RNA". It matches the Rfam family "Bacterial small subunit ribosomal RNA", at positions 28 to 507 of the family's 1533-position model. The record is from RNAcentral.